RNAcentral lists this ribosomal RNA (253 nucleotides) under uncultured bacterium. RNAcentral's name for it is "partial 16S ribosomal RNA". It matches the Rfam family "Bacterial small subunit ribosomal RNA", at positions 524 to 776 of the family's 1533-position model. The record is from RNAcentral.
UACAGAGGUCCCAAGCGUUGUUCGGAUUCACUGGGCGUAAAGGGUGCGUAGGUGGCUUGGUAAGUUUGAUGUGAAAUCUCCGGGCUUAACCCGGAAAUGGCAUUGAAUACUAUUGAGCUGGAGGUUUGGAGGGGGGACUGGAAUUCUCGGUGUAGCAGUGAAAUGCGUAGAUAUCGAGAGGAACACCAGUGGCGAAGGCGGUUCUCUGGGCCUUACCUGACGCUGAGGAGCGAAAGCGUGGGGAGCGAACAGG